This 24-nucleotide microRNA is filed under the name Oryza sativa (Asian cultivated rice). Its description in RNAcentral is "osa-miR5145". Lineage: Eukaryota; Viridiplantae; Streptophyta; Magnoliopsida; Poales; Poaceae. The record is from miRBase by way of RNAcentral. RNAcentral also lists the same sequence under 1 other name.
ACCUGUUUGGAUUCUUGAGGGCUA